GUCAUUGUCAAAGUGGAGGUAAUCAUUCAAUGAAGGUUUACUGAGGAUGAUUUUGCUGAAACCUACACACUAAACACCGCAUCACUUUAGCUUCGUUAAGUUAAUAGCUGAUGCAAUUUUUGCAAGCUCAGAAGGGC
RNAcentral lists this non-coding RNA (137 nucleotides) under Tetranychus urticae (two-spotted spider mite). RNAcentral describes it as "snRNA tetur37g01227". It matches the Rfam family "U4atac minor spliceosomal RNA". Rfam says of the family: U4atac is an essential component of the minor U12-type spliceosome complex which is required for removal of the rarer class of eukaryotic introns (AT-AC, U12-type). These interacting stem loops have been shown to be required for in vivo splicing. U4atac also contains an 3' Sm protein binding site which has been shown to be essential for splicing activity. The record is from RNAcentral. Lineage: Eukaryota; Metazoa; Arthropoda; Arachnida; Trombidiformes; Tetranychidae.